This 371-nucleotide ribosomal RNA is filed under the name Erythrolamprus aesculapii. RNAcentral describes it as "partial large subunit ribosomal RNA". It matches the Rfam family "Bacterial large subunit ribosomal RNA", at positions 1960 to 2550 of the family's 2925-position model. The record is from RNAcentral. Lineage: Eukaryota; Metazoa; Chordata; Lepidosauria; Squamata; Dipsadidae.
CAUAAUCAUUUGUCCACUAAUUAUGGACUAGUAUGAAAGGCAAAAUGAGGGUUCAACUGUCUCUUAUAGUAAGUCAAUUAAACUGAUCUACCAGUAAAAAAGCUGGUAUAAAUACACAAGACCAGAAGACCCUGUGAAGCUUAAACUAAACUAUUAAACUACAUAAUAACUACUUUCGGUUGGGGCGACCUUGGAAAAAAAAGAACUUCCAAAUUAAUGAUAAUUUAUCAUCCUCAGGCCAACAAGCCACAUAUGACCCAGUACACCUGAUAACUGAACCAAGUUACUCCAGGGAUAACAGCGCCAUCUUCUUCAAGAGUCCAUAUCAAAAAGAAGGUUUACGACCUCGAUGUUGGAUCAGGACAUCCCAA